Long non-coding RNA from Pseudopipra pipra, 282 nucleotides. RefSeq lists it as uncharacterized. The transcript has 2 exons. NCBI's taxonomy places the organism in Eukaryota, Metazoa, Chordata, Aves, Passeriformes, Pipridae. The record is from RefSeq and is a predicted model, not a curated record.
UCCAUUCCAGGUUCACUUGAUGAACCCAGGGGCUGCAGAAGAGAGUGGGAAGAAGCAGAAGAGCAGCAAGAAACCCUCCCAGGCAUUGAGAAGAUCCCUCUGGACCCCUCCCUUCUCCAGGCUGAGCAGUCCCAGCACUCCCAGCUUUUCCCAGAUGUUCCAGUCACUCAUGAUCCUUCUGGAAGGGGCCAACUCCCAAAAAUCAGAAGCCUGUUGAGCACUUUGAGCCUCCUCUGCUGGAAACACUUAAUGAGUAACUGAUUAAACCUGCUUUACACUGCA